AACAGCUGGAAACGGCUGCUAAUACCGAAUACGUCUUUUUCAUCGCAUGGUGAGAAGAAGAAAAAGGAACGGCCUCUACACAAAGCGGUCGCCGAAGGAGGGGUUUUGCGUCUGAUUAGCUAGUUGGAGGGGUAACGGCCCAACAAGGCGACGAUCAGUAGCCGGUCUGAGAGGAUGAACGGCCACAUUGGGACUGAGACACGGCCCAGACUCCUACGGGAGGCAGCAGUGGGGAAUCUUCCGCAAUGGACGAAAGUCUGACGGAGCAACGCCGCGUGAGUGAAGACGGUCUUCGGAUUGUAAAGCUCUGUUAUACGGGACGAACGGCAAGGUGGUAAAUAGCCAUCAUGAGUGACGGUACCGUAAGAGAAAGCCACGGCUAACUACGUGCCAGCAGCCGCGUAAAU
Molecule: ribosomal RNA, 407 nt
Filed under: uncultured Veillonellaceae bacterium
Lineage: Bacteria; Bacillati; Bacillota; Negativicutes; Veillonellales; Veillonellaceae
Description: bacterial SSU rRNA
Rfam family: Bacterial small subunit ribosomal RNA
Source: RNAcentral